UCUGUUAUCGCAGCCACCACCCCAACUCUCAUACACUGGCCUUCCAUAGCACCAAUCAUACUGCCUCUCUCGCCCGUAGCCAAGCUGGUAACACGGUCCCCCACCACGCCCCUCAGAACAUUCCGUGCAACAUGCCCUAACAGGUGAGUAACACGGUCCACCACCACGCCCCUCGGAACAUUCCCUGCAACAUGCCCUAACAGGUGAGUAACACGGUCCCCCACCACGCCCCUCGGAACAUUCCCUGCAACAUGUCCUAAUUGGUGAGUAACACGGUCCCCCACCACGCCCCUCGGAACAUUCCCUGCAACAUGUCCUAACGGGUAGGUAACACGGAACGGGCUCCGGAGCCGGUGCCGGUGCCGGAGGCGGCGGUGGGGCUGGUGAUGGUUUUGGUUGGGGAGCCGGUGCCGGGGGUGGUGGCGAUGGUGAAGGUUUCGGUGGUGGUGGUGACGGUUUUGGUUCCGGAGCCGGUGCCGGCGGUGGUUUUGGUUUUGGCGGCGGCGGCGGCUUUGGCUUUGGUGGUUCCAGGAUUUCAAUAGUCUUGAUUGAACCAUCACCUUUGCAGCAUAGCUUGUCCCUGAUCUUUUCAGGACUGCAGCACACUACUUUUAUUGUCACCGUAUUCGUCUUCUCAUCGAAAAACUGUUCUUGUAUUUCUUUGGUCAAAAAGUUCAAACACAAUAUCUUAGCCCACCAUCCGCCAGCCAUUUUUUUAUUUGCAAACACAAAAUAAACAAUUCUACUUGCGCCUCACCAAAUGACACGCGAAUUCAGAAUUUUAUGCCAUUAUAAAACAUUUUACGAAACCAUAAUAUAUAAUAUAUGUAAAUGGACAUGGCCAGCGAUCAGAGAGACACUUACGUGGGAAUUUGCACAGUACUUUCUUGACUUUCUUGUAGCACUUUGAGCACUGAAGGUUAACCUUCAGCACCAUUAUUGUAACCUUCUGUAAACAAUAGUACACAGAUAAUACAAAAGUAUUUUUCAGCAGGCUAAUUAAUUAAAGAUAAAAGAGAGACAUUUAAUUAAUUUCUGACAUGAAAGAAUCAGCAAGGUAACUAUAUAUCUCCGUGUAUAUAUACACUAUAAGCUAUCAUCACGAAAGAUCGAUCGAUGCACAGCACAAACUUAACCAAAAGGGGAAUUACGAACCUUCUCUCCCAUAGCUGCUCGGAUCUGAACCUCAGGAAACCGGACACUGAUUAUUUGAAGCGUUAAUGUGACAGCAGGUAUGGAAAAGGGUCUUAUAAAUAAGUGCGCCAAUUUGAAACUUGUUUAAGAAGGGAAGGAAAAGUAAGGGCUUGAAUUCCGUACAUUAUACAUAACCAAUUAUCUGCCGACACGUCUUAUUGGAUGACGUCGAAUUUCAUGAUAUCAUCAAGGUUGUCGUUAUCUCCGUACAUAGUAAGUCUUUCUUCACAUUUAUGUAUGAUUGCUGACUCACCCAUUCUCCAUUGCAUUUGCAUGUGCUGCCUUUUGAUUGAUUGCCCUUUUCUCUGUUUUUCUUUUUUUUUUUUUGCUUUGCUUUUUUUUUUUCUUUUAUGUCUAAAGGAAAAUUUUUUGUCUUUCUCAUUUGAGCAAUAGUCAUAUUUCUUUACCUAAUUGAAAAUUAAAAAUAAAAAUAAAUAAGGGAAAAUGGACUUUAAUUGAACAACUGAUGUGAGAUCUAGGUAUAGAAAUUUACAUUCACCAACUCUUCCUAACCGUCAAAUUUGAUGCAUUUUUCGAACCCAGCACCUUGUGCCAUGGAUCGAGCAUUCAUUCUACAAACAGAGUAAUUGAUGAAAUAAUUUAAUCGAGCUAUUGGAAGUUUCACCAACCUAAAGUAAUCAUUGUCCUUAACCCAUAAACAAAGGGCCCAAUGAUCAAUUAAUAUAAGCUUUUGGAAGUUCAACCAAUCCCCGUAAGUAUACCUCCAACACUAAGGUAGCUAUUAUGGGCUUGUGGGACCCGCAUACUUAAUGCCUAAGUUAAGUGUCACAUCACUAAUUUAAUUUUAGAUUGGCCACACUCCAAGUAAUUAAAAAAGAUAAUGUUAUUAGUUUACCAGAAGCAGUUGUGACGCCUUGGCACCCACCUCCGCUUGGCCAUUUUAAAUUAAAUGUUGAUGCAGUCAUGGGGGAUGGUGGUGUGGGGGCCGUCGAUGGGUUAUCGGUUGCAAUUGAGGCAGGACUGACAUUGUUCAGAGAUUAUUUAAUUUUUAGCUUCGUGGUUUAUGUUGUCCAACGCUAUCUCACCAUUGUUAUUUAAGAUUAUUUUCUGAAACAUUAUCUCACCCAUAUUAUUGUUCAAAAAGAAAUUAAAGUAAAAAGCAGAUGGCCAAUUUAUCUCUUGUAUCAAUUCUUCUAUUCCUCUUCUUCAUUUAUGGUAAAAAUAACCAUUUUUCUUAAGUGUUUUAUGUAGCAUUUUUGUACUUAAUUUAUGCAAUGCUAUAAAAGAUCAAAUUUGAAUUUUAAAGAAUUAUUAUUAUUAUUAUUAUUAUUAUUAUUAUUAUUAUUAUUAUUUAUCAGGAACUGGGAAGAUAAUUGCCGAGACUCAGGAGAUAGAGCUCUGCAAGACAGCUAUUAUGUCCCAAAAAGAAUUUUGCUUUUGAAGCAUCACUUUCCCAAAAAGAAAUUCCAAAAAUUAUGUCUAAUUAAAAUCUUUUAGAAUCUCCCCAAGGUUUGAUUGCAUGGUUUUUAAACAGUUAUAAGCAGUUUUCAAGAAAUUGUUUUUUAUUAGUACUGAUUUGAACCUUAAGGAAGUUUGAGUUAAAAAAAUUGAUUUGGACUUAAUGGACUCCCUUAUCUUUAAAAGAAAAUGUAUCCUGCAGAAUUCGAAAGAAAUAAUUAAAAAAAAAUAAAACAAUGGAAUAAUUCAGAAAGAGAAAAUAAGAAGCACAUGUAAAAAGUAUUUUUCUAAUGAAUUUAUUUCAAUUUUUUGAUUUUAUAAAUAAAAACUCAAGGGUGAAAAAUUUUAAUGAGUAACGGUCGUUAAUGAAAAAUUUUAAUGAGUAAGGGUUGUUAUAUAUUUAACGAUGAAAUUAAAAGAAAAUAGUGUAAAUGAAAAAAAAAAAUAACAGAAGCGAUGAGAGUGAUUCUGAGAAGAGUUAGAGAUUAUUGUGGGUUGUCUAUGGUAUAGAGUAGGAAGAUUAAGUUAAAUAAAUUAGUUUGAUUUAUCUAAAUAAAUUAUUUCAUUAUAAAAUAGAAUUUACUCAUUGGUAAAGUACUGUAUAGAUGUUUUGGUUUUAUAUAAAUUUAUUAGAAGAGAUGAAUAUAAGGAGUAUUUUUAUCGAAUUCAAAAAGCUCAUAACUUUUCACUUGUAAUCAAUUUUUCUACCAUAAAUUUUUGUAUGAUUUUGGUCCCUAUGGGUAGAAGAAUUUAAAGGGGGCCAAAAUCAUAGAGGUAAACGUUUAGGGGUCAAAGUCUAAAAAGAGUAAAUUAUUUUGGUAAAAUGUCAAGAUAAAUUAAAGUUUCAGAGCCACCUCCCGCCUUUUUUUCAUUUAGCAAAAUAAUACUUUCAUGUAUUAUGCCGAGGUAGAUGUGAUGGACCUUUUUAAUAUUUAAAUUUUAUGAUAAAUAAUGAUGUGUCAUUUAUAAGAGAAAUUUUAUAAUAUAUUAGAGGUAGUACAUCAACUAAUACAUGUAUGACAUGUAUAUAUAGACUUGAUAUAACCUUUAUUUGCAUAAUAAUUUUUUAAAAUAAAUGUACAUAUAUUAUAAUAUAACUUGUUUAUUGUAUACCUGAUAUGAUACAUCUGAUUUAUUUUAGAAUUUUUCAUGUGAUUAAAAUUUUUUAUAAAGUUCUAAAUAAAUUAUUUUAUACCUGACAUUACUAUUGAAGAAUAUAUUGACAGAUAUUGUGGAAUAUUUAUAUGUAACUUAUUAGAAUUUAUACAAAAAUUGCAUAUAAAAUUACGAGAGCUUCUGUUCACUUUAAAUUAAUCAAUCUAACAAGAAUUUAAUUAAGGCUUCAUGCAUAUAACAAAGGCGAAGUGUAAGUUGUAAAAAGGCCAAAAAAAAAAUGUAUUGACAAUUUUCCAUUCUAGAUUCUAAAUUUCAAUAAACAUCUAAUUUAUCAACAAGCAUGUUCGUUCUUUUUAUGAUUGAAUGUUGAAAUAAACAGUGUAAGAUCCAUCUCUUAUGCUUGGUAAUGGCACCAAAAGAAAACUCCUCUUUGCUCCCUUUGCAACAAAGCGGAUAGGAUGAUAAUUCUUUUUCCAUUGCGAAGCAAACUACACUGUUAUAUCCAAACUCUGUUGACACUGAAUUGCAACUGACCUUCAUGCUUUCGCCCGAUUUCAAGUUAACACUAGUAGAAACGAAGCAACCCUUUUGGGUUACUGACUCCAAGGCUACUGUUUCAGCCUUUCCAUCCCAUCCGGUAACAAGGCGAAAAAUGGAGGAGCCAUGAACACUAGAAGAGUCUGCGACAACAAGUUCAUCAUCUGUUCCUUGCACUACAAGCAUUCCUGGGGAAGCAAAUAGUUCUAGCAUGACUGAUCUGCCAAUUGCAUCGCUGAGGGAUGAAAAUUCGGAGGAAGGUUUAUCGUUUAAGAUGAAUCUUAAAGUGGCUUGAAGGGCAAUGUCAGUGCCAGAUUUAGGGGAUUCUGCCAUUGGAAUAGAUUGUCAAGACAAAAGUCGAGUUUCUGGAAACUUUGGAAAAUGUGACCAGCUGAAAUUAUAUGAUGCAGGAAUUGGAGCAACAACUUCUGAAAGAGAUGUUGCUGAUUCAGUCCUGAUAUCGGAGUCCCCAUUGCUGUAGCUCGUAGGCAGAUAAGACCGUGGUGAAUGGCCGAUCAGCUGAAGAAGAAAAAAGAUUUUCAGUCAAAGAUUUUUCAUUGAUAACAGAAAUUGUAAACAAAACAGUUCAUGAAGAUUCCAUCGAUAGGCUCUGUCCUUAGAAUAAGGGGCAGCUGAAUGGUUAAUUUGUCAUCAUAUGUCCAUGCUGUGGUGAUACUUGGAAAUUUCGUGCAUCGGGAAUGUAACUGUUUGUUACAUGUCUUUAUAAAAGAUGAAACCCCACUUUUAAUUUUUCUAUCUGAAAUAAAAAAUUGAAAAACAAUCAAAGAUAUUAUAAUUCAGCACCUGCCGAUGGUAGAGGCAAAUCCUGGCCAUUUAAUGUUGCCUUUGCUCCAUUAGUAUUUGUCCACCUCGAUAUUCUGAAACCAAAGGAUAGUGAUCGAGCUGCUCCCUGGAUAUACAUCAAAUCCAGAAUGUGUGAUGGAUGAACUUCUCAUUACAAUGUUAAAAAAUAAACACCAAGUUUGAUAGCCAGUACCUUAGGAAGAAAUGUGAAUGUGAUAUGACGAUAAGGAUCUGAAGAAACAACAGGAUCAACUUUCUGGUUGGGCAGAAUAUGUCCAGAUUUCCAAUCAAGUGAGCUCGAUAUGUACCGAAUGAUGUAAAGACCAGGAUAUAAUCCUUCCUCUUCAAAGUAAAUUGAAUAUCCCAACUUUGCGAAUGACUUAAUUCCUCCAUGGGAAACAAGAAUAAAAUCUAGUAUACCAAUUGGCGGAAACUGUGCAAAUUUAGAAAGCAACUCAUGAGAUUCAAGAACAUUGAGAGUAAAGAGAAAAAAUGGGCAAUGAAUACCAGACAUGUGCCAUAACAGCACCAGAAUGAAUUUAAUUAAUGCGUAAACAAAUUUUAUUCAACUUUAUUUCUAAUCCAGUCAUUAACAUUCUUAUAGCAAUUUAACUCUAAGAUUUACCUAACACAUACGACUACUUUUAAAACUCACGACACUUUUUAAAAUAAAUUUUACUAAAUGUUUAAUUGAUUCUCUUUACAGUUGAAUAUAUUUAUAAUACAGCUAACAAUAAUUAUUUUAAAAAAUACAUCAUUACCAAAUAGGCCGCCAAUAAUUGGAAAACUAAUUGUAGCAUUAACAAACUCUACAUUCACCAACCUUUAUUUAUCUUUGAUUUUCCUAUAGAGUCUAUAUUACCCAAAAUGUUAAAGAUUAAACCAGCAUACAAGAAGCAACUAGAAGAAAGUAAACGAUAUGAUCACUGACGAUUACCAUUCAUGAUCAUUGAUUUAUGAGAUUGUGCAAGACAGUGGUGGAUUUCCUUCACAGGUGGAAUCUAACGACCACGGGUGCAAAUGAACAGCGACCACAAGUGCAAUAUGAACAGCGACCACAAGUGCAAUCUGACCAGCGACCUCUCCAAUAAACUCUAUUAUGGCAGCUACCACCCCAGCUCUCAUACACUAGUCUUGCAUAGAUCACAAUGCCUCUCUUGCCCCAAGCCAAGCUGGUGACACGGUCCCCAACCAUGACCCUCAGAACAUUGCUUGCAACAUACCCUAACCGAUGUGUAACACGGCACUGGCACCAGGGGUGGUAGUGGUGGUUUUGGGUUUUCCCCAUCCGGUUGUGGCGGGUUUUUUUUUAUCCCCAUCCGGUUGUGGUGGUUUUUUGUUAUCCCCAUUCGGUUGUGGCGGGUUUUUUUUAUCCCCAUCCGGUUGUGGCGGUUUUUUGUUAUCCCCAUCCAGUUGUGGUGGUCUAGGGUUAGGCUUUUUAUCAGGUUCCAGGAUUUCAAUAGUCUUGAUUGAACCAUCACCUUUGCAGCAUAGCUUGUCCCUGGUCUUUCAGGACUGCAGCACACUACUUUUAUUGUCA
RNAcentral lists this long non-coding RNA (6610 nucleotides) under Citrus maxima (pomelo). Its description in RNAcentral is "long non-coding RNA (CMAX_LNC000494)". The record is from RNAcentral. Lineage: Eukaryota; Viridiplantae; Streptophyta; Magnoliopsida; Sapindales; Rutaceae.